GACGAACGCUGGCGGCGUGCUUAACACAUGCAAGUCGAACGAAGAGCGAUGGAAGCUUGCUUCUAUCAAUCUUAGUGGCGAACGGGUGAGUAACGCGUAAUCAACCUGCCCUUCAGAGGGGGACAACAGUUGGAAACGACUGCUAAUACCGCAUACGAUCUAAUCUCGGCAUCGAGGAUAGAUGAAAGGUGGCCUCUACAUGUAAGCUCUCACUGAAGGAGGGGAUUGCGUCUGAUUAGCUAGUUGGAGGGGUAACGGCCCACCAAGGCGAUGAUCAGUAGCCGGUCUGAGAGGAUGAACGGCCACAUUGGGACUGAGACACGGCCCAGACUCCUACGGGAGGCAGCAGUGGGGAAUCUUCCGCAAUGGACGAAAGUCUGACGGAGCAACGCCGCGUGAGUGAUGACGGCCUUCGGGUUGUAAAGCUCUGUUAAUCGGGACGAAAGGCCUUCUUGCGAACAGUUAGAAGGAUUGACGGUACCGGAAGAGAAAGCCACGGCUAACUACGUG
Molecule: ribosomal RNA, 510 nt
Filed under: uncultured bacterium
Lineage: Bacteria
Description: partial 16S ribosomal RNA
Rfam family: Bacterial small subunit ribosomal RNA
Source: RNAcentral